Cicer arietinum (chickpea) is the source of this 1144-nucleotide non-coding RNA. The record is from RefSeq and is a predicted model, not a curated record. Lineage: Eukaryota; Viridiplantae; Streptophyta; Magnoliopsida; Fabales; Fabaceae.
UCCUAAGGCUUUUAUUUUUCCUUGACUAAGUAGCCUUAUAUUAUCAUAAUUUCCUUCAUACUUCCUUUAAUGCCAUAAUUUCAUUCGGCUUGCUACAAAUACACAAGCAAUGAUAUGAUUAUCUAAAUUUUUCAACUAUCUUGUAUUUAUAACUUAAUCUAUUGUAGUUAUUUUCUUCUAUUAGGUGGUUAAAGAUAGAAAUGUGGUUAUUCAGCUUGUGAGAAGAGCUGAAUCUGCCGGUUUCAAGGCAAUAGUCCUUACUGUGGACACUCCAAUUCUUGGUCGCAAGGAGGCUGAUAUUAAAAACAGAUUUACAAUGCCACCACACCUUGUAUUGAAUUUUUUUGAAAGAUUGGAUCUUGGGAAGCUGGAUAAGGUUUCUUUGUCACAAUCAGUGUAUCCGCUGUGAUGUUCAAGUCAAAUGAAAUUGUUAAGAAACAAACCUCUUUAAAGGGAGAUAAGAAGCCUCUGCUCUUCUUGGUGUAUCUUUUGAUCUUUCAUAGCUUUCUUUGCUGCAAUGUUUUAGACAUUGUUUAACUCCAACAUCGACUAGCGAGGAAAAAUAUCUAGUUGGCAUCCUUGCCAUUGACUUUCAGAUAUAUUGGUGUGCCAAGAAGCAAUGGUUUUCAAGUGUUUAUUGUUGAAUGUAGCGUUGGCCUCACCCUAUUUUAAUAAAUAAAGUUGACUUUUAUGUAAUUGUUCACUUUUUUAGUUGAUCGUAGCGUCAGAGAAGCCGACACUAUCUAUUUUGUUGACUACAACUUGUUGACUUUAGCGACGGUCAUCCGACCCAAAAGAAUUUUUUCAAAAGACGUAUCAACCGAUAUAAACUUGCGUCAUAUGUUUUAUUUUGUUGCUAGUGUUGGCUUAGAUCUAUUAGCGUUUUAGUUUAGAUCCGACACCGACGCUAAUCGGACACUAAAUCAACGUAAGCGUCGAAUUUUGAUCUAUUAGCGUGGACUUUUGGCCGACGCUAAAAUCAGUUUUUUUUAAUAGUGAUUUUCUUAUGAUGUAUAUAAGUGAUUCACUAUAUUCUACCAUUUGAAAAGAAACUUUUUGACUAAAUUCUACGUAGAGCCGGCCCAAGGGAGAGACAUUGCUUUAUGCCUCGCCAAAAAAUAUUUUUUUACUCUAAUUUUUAACA